ACCUUCUUCCAUAAAGAGAAAGUAAAUAGUGCACUUGUAUUCCACCUGAAGAGGAAGGCCCCUGACUGAUGCUGUUUGUCCAUUAGUCUGGCACAUUUGGGCUUGAUGCUUUGAAUAUCUCCAUUGAUCUUUUAAACAAGUGGAGAAAAUUGACACCUUGCUAAACUUGGUGGAGACUGAAUUUGGCUUUAUGUCUGUUCUAGUUCUUUUGGCCACAAGCAAGUGGAUGGUCUUCUUCAUGCUAUUGAAAAUCUUUUGAAGGCACAAAUGACAGUGAAUUGGCUGUUAUUGAUGCAAUGGCUGCAGCUGCACACUCUUUAAUAAUUUCUAUUGGGAUCUUCCAUGGGACUUUGCAGAUUGAGAAGGCCAUUGAGUUUAUCAGACUUGAAGACGACCAACAGGUUCUUUUUGGCCCCCUCCUCUUUUCUACACACGCACACACAUCUAUAUGUAGGUUUUCAUUCUCCUUUUUGGGUCCUGUGAAAAUCUGAG
Molecule: long non-coding RNA, 492 nt
Organism: Telopea speciosissima
Lineage: Eukaryota; Viridiplantae; Streptophyta; Magnoliopsida; Proteales; Proteaceae
Exons: 3
Source: RefSeq, a predicted model, not a curated record